RNAcentral lists this ribosomal RNA (468 nucleotides) under uncultured bacterium. RNAcentral describes it as "partial 16S ribosomal RNA". It matches the Rfam family "Bacterial small subunit ribosomal RNA", at positions 28 to 507 of the family's 1533-position model. The record is from RNAcentral.
GACGAACGCUGGCGGCGUGCUUAACACAUGCAAGUCGAACGGAAAGGCCCUGCUUUUGUGGGGUGCUCGAGUGGCGAACGGGUGAGUAACACGUGAGUAACCUGCCCUUGACUUUGGGAUAACUUCAGGAAACUGGGGCUAAUACCGGAUAGGAGCUCCUGCUGCAUGGUGGGGGUUGGAACGUUUCGGCGGUUGGGGAUGGACUCGCGGCUUAUCAGCUUGUUGGUGGGGUAGUGGCUUACCAAGGCUUUGACGGGUAGCCGGCCUGAGAGGGUGACCGGCCACAUUGGGACUGAGAUGCGGCCCAGACGCCUACGGGAGGCAGCAGUGGGGAAUAUUGCACAAUGGGCGGAAGCCUGAUGCAGCAACGCCGCGUGCGGGAUGACGGCCUUCGGGCUGUAAACCGCUUUCGCCUGUGACGAAGCGUGAGUGACGGUAAUGGGUAAAGAAGCACCGGCUAACUACGUG